RNAcentral lists this ribosomal RNA (438 nucleotides) under Centrocestus formosanus. Its description in RNAcentral is "partial large subunit ribosomal RNA". It matches the Rfam family "Eukaryotic large subunit ribosomal RNA", at positions 102 to 508 of the family's 3401-position model. Lineage: Eukaryota; Metazoa; Platyhelminthes; Trematoda; Opisthorchiida; Heterophyidae. The record is from RNAcentral.
GAAAAGCCCAGCACCGAAGCCUGUGGCCAUUUGGUUACUAGGCAAUGUGGUGUUUAGGUCAUUCCGCGUUGGCGCUGCUCCAUUCCAAGUCCAGCAAUGAAUACGGUAAUGCUGACAUAGCCCAAAGCGGGUGAAAGGCCCGUGGGAGUGGAGAUGCAGAAAUGACAGUGCCUUCCUGGAUAGACCUUGGAGUCGGGUUGUUUGUGAAUGCAGCCCAAAGUGGGUGGUAAACUCCAUCCAAGGCUAAAUACUAACACGAGUCCGAUAGCGAACAAGUACCGUGAGGGAAAGUUGAAAAGUACUUUGAAGAGAGAGUAAACAGUGCGUGAAACCGCUCAGAGGUAAACGGGUGGAGUUGAACUGUGAACUCUGUGGAUUUAGCUGGUGAGCAUGGUUUGAGCUUGGUCAAAUUGGCUGAAGUGCGGAGUCUGCGGAUUA